Giardia lamblia ATCC 50803 is the source of this 359-nucleotide non-coding RNA. Lineage: Eukaryota; Fornicata; Diplomonadida; Hexamitidae. The record is from Rfam.
GGAGCGAACGCGGCUCAGGGAAGUCGGCAAGCCGGCUCCGUAACCUCGGGAAAAGGAGUGGCUCUGACGGCGCGCCGGGUCAGAACUGGAACGGACGCGGGGAUCCCGACUGUUUACUAGAAACACAGCGUCGCGAGGGCCGCACCCGGCGCUGGCGCGACGUGAUUUCUGCCCAGUGCCACGACCGUCACCGUGAAGCGAUCCGCCGAAGCCCUGGUAAACGGCGGGAGUAACUAUGACUCUCUUAAGGUAGCCAAAUGCCUCGUCGGGCAAUUUCCGACGUGCAUGAAUGGACCAACGAGGAUCCCACUGUCCCGAGCCGCGCCUCCGCGAGCCUCCAGCCUCGGGAACGGGCGAGG